RNAcentral lists this ribosomal RNA (424 nucleotides) under Boophis reticulatus. Its description in RNAcentral is "partial 16S ribosomal RNA". It matches the Rfam family "Bacterial large subunit ribosomal RNA", at positions 1929 to 2514 of the family's 2925-position model. Lineage: Eukaryota; Metazoa; Chordata; Amphibia; Anura; Mantellidae. The record is from RNAcentral.
GGCCGCGGUAUCCUGACCGUGUGAAGGUAGCAUAAUCACUUGUUCUUUAAAUGGGGACUAGUAUCAACGGCAUCACGAGGGUCCCACUGUCUCCCCCCUCCAAUCAGUGAAACUGAUCUCCCCGUGAAGAAGCGGGGAUAAGUAUAUUAGACGAGAAGACCCCAUGGAGCUUUAAACCCGACAGCACCCACUUAUUUAACACCUUCUUAUCCGCCUGGCCCCUGUCUGCUCGGUUUUGGGUUGGGGUGACCGCGGAGCAUAAAAUAGCCUCCACGAAAGAAGGGAUGAUUCCCUCAUUUUAGAACUACACUUCCAAAGACUAACAAAUUAAUUUUAAGUGAUCCGAUACCCGUAUUCGAUCAACGAACCAAGUUACCCUGGGGAUAACAGCGCAAUCUACCUCAAGAGCCCCUAUCGACAGGUG